Molecule: ribosomal RNA, 301 nt
Filed under: uncultured bacterium
Lineage: Bacteria
Description: partial 16S ribosomal RNA
Rfam family: Bacterial small subunit ribosomal RNA
Source: RNAcentral
CAGCAGCCGCGGUAAUACGUAGGUGGCAAGCGUUGUCCGGAAUUAUUGGGCGUAAAGGGCUCGCAGGCGGUUUCUUAAGUCUGAUGUGAAAGCCCCCGGCUCAACCGGGGAGGGUCAUUGGAAACUGGGAAACUUGAGUGCAGAAGAGGAGAGUGGGAUUCCACGUGUAGCGGUGAAAUGCGUAGAGAUGUGGAGGAACACCAGUGGCGAAGGCGACUCUCUGGUCUGUAACUGACGCUGAGGAGCGAAAGCGUGGGGAGCGAACAGGAUUAGAUACCCGAGUAGUCCCUGUCUCUUAUAC